Molecule: long non-coding RNA, 1225 nt
Organism: Cucumis melo (muskmelon)
Lineage: Eukaryota; Viridiplantae; Streptophyta; Magnoliopsida; Cucurbitales; Cucurbitaceae
Exons: 3
Source: RefSeq, a predicted model, not a curated record
GAUAUACUCUGUAUAUAAGAAUGUGCUUCGUAUUUUGCUUAUACUUGGUGAAUUUUUCAAUUUUUAUACAGCCUUGGGAAAGUGAGUUCAUAUAUUCACAGCGGGUAUGGGCUGAAAAUCCUCUUAAGAGGCAGGAAGCUCAGGCCAGAAAGAACUGAGCUUGUCGGUUGGUGACUAUGUCAUUGUGCGAAACCUAUUUUUUAUUUUCUUGAGGCAACUUUCUCUAUUUUUUAUUUUCAAGUUUGCAGUCAUAACCUUGGGAAGUAGUUGUAGACUAUGUUUGUAUGUGAAAUCUUAAAGGUUUUCAAAAGGGCUUGCUCAUGUUGAUUACAUGCUCAACCAUUUUCUAGAGGUAUGUUGUUUUUAUUGCAAUACUUUUCUGACAUUCAUAAUGCUCAUACUUCUAUUCUGUUAGUUUAGGUGACUCCUUUUCAUGGCAAUUAUACUUCUGGUAUUGUGCUGUACCAUCUCAUGUUUAAUUUCUGAUUUCUAAUUAUUGUUUGUACAAAGAAAUAUAAUAUAUAUUGAUAUAUGCAGGCUAUCGCUGUAGUGAAGCAAGCAUUGGACGUUGACCCUACAAACUUAGAGAUGCUUCAUGCACUUGGUGUGAGUCAUGCAAAUGAUUUAGUCAUUGGUGGUUGGUUCAUUGUACUGUAACUUGCCUGUUCAAGGCUCUUUGGCAUUGGCUUUCUUGAUGGAGCAAUAAAGGUGUUGUAGAAUUGCUCUUCAUCACAAUUCUCAGAGGAUAUGAUGUAUGUAUAUCUAAAAGGUAGGUGUAGGAAAUAUUUUUCAUGUAACAACCAACAGGAUGCCAUAUUUAUUAUUUAUUCACAAAGUUCAUUGUUGUUUCUAGUUUGUUGCCAUAUUUUUCAGUCAGGUUAUGGCAAGGAGGAAAUACCGCUGGCCCUGGGAGAUAUCACUAAACAAAUGACUGCAAUAGAAGAAAUGGUUGCAAGUGAGUACAAUUAGCCAGACCCUUAUCUUUGUGACAAGAUCUUGAAGAUGGUCAUUUGUGAAGCGUUCUAGUUUGCUAUUAGUUGCAAUUUUAGUUAUUGCUCUUUCAAUAUAUUCUUUUUCUUUCUUUCUUUCUUUUUUUCCAAAGGAUGAUCAAUGUAUAAUAAUUAAGCUUCAUAACUUCUUUGUAUUUGGAGCCAAGUUGUAUAUAAAUGUACACAUUAUUAAGAUUUCAUUUUGUAUAUGUACAAGUAAAAGAUUUCAUUUUUAA